Long non-coding RNA from Gossypium arboreum, 734 nucleotides. RefSeq lists it as uncharacterized. NCBI's taxonomy places the organism in Eukaryota, Viridiplantae, Streptophyta, Magnoliopsida, Malvales, Malvaceae. The record is from RefSeq and is a predicted model, not a curated record. The transcript has 2 exons.
GUUAAGCUACUCCUCUUUUUUCUCACAAUCUCUGUGGUAGCAGUGCAAGAAAGUGCCCUGCACCACGCUUCUUCACCGUAUCCAUCAGACCCGGAAGAGGUUUUGGUCGAACCAGACGGCUCAAGGACCCACUCAGGUGUCACCAAACCAUCAUCCAAACCCACGUCAGGUAAAAUGAAUGAGAAAAUGUGGAGAAUCAAAGAAUGGGAUUGGGAGGUGGUGGUUAUGGGGUAAAAAGGAAACCUUGCAGGAGAGAGAGCAAAAGAGAUACGGGUGUUGCAGGCAUCUGUCGCAUGUGGUGCAGAAGUUGCCGGAGCCUCUGAACUGCCUUGUCUGUGGCCUUUGGUUUAUAAAUAUCACUUUUGCACUGUUUAUUAUGUAUGACUAACGAAAGAGAGAAGAGAGACAGUGAGUAUGAAUAAUUGAUUCAUUAUAGAAUAACAAAAUAAUAUAAUUUGCAGAGCGUAGAGAGAGAGGACUUCUUUUCUGAAAAUUUCAGCUUCCUUUUAUCAAACAGUGCUUUACCCAGAAGUUGACUGAUAAUCAAGCCAAAAGAGAGGUGUUUACAUCAUUUGAAAUUUCCUAACUCCCAGUUUUUCUUUUAUUUGAAACAAGUCUAAGCUUUGCAAAAUUCAUUCAAUUUUGUUGGAACUAAGGAGCAAACUUACUUGGACAGAGGCACAGUCCAUCAACUUAGUUGCAUCAUCCAACCUUAUAACAUCGUGAUAGACAUA